GACGAACGCUGGCGGCGUGCUUAACACAUGCAAGUCGAGCGAGGUCCAUCCAGUGGCAACACUGGGGAAGACCUAGCGGCGAACGGGUGAGUAACACGUGAGCAACCUGCCCCGAAGACUGGGAGUAACACCGGGAAACCGGGUGCUAAUACCGGAUGCCCUCACCGGGCCGCAUGACCUGGUGAGGAAAUGAAUUUUGCUCGGGAGGGGCUCGCGGGCUAUCAGCUUGUUGGUGAGGUAACGGCUCACCAAGGCUACGACGGCUAGCUGGUCUGAGAGGACGAUCAGCCACACUGGGACUGAGACACGGCCCAGACUCCGUACGGGAGGCAGCAGUGGGGAAUCUUGCGCAAUGGGCGAAAGCCUGACGCA
RNAcentral lists this ribosomal RNA (372 nucleotides) under uncultured bacterium. RNAcentral's name for it is "bacterial SSU rRNA". It matches the Rfam family "Bacterial small subunit ribosomal RNA", at positions 28 to 390 of the family's 1533-position model. The record is from RNAcentral.